RNA transcript from Ixodes scapularis (black-legged tick), 4322 nucleotides. RefSeq lists it as uncharacterized. Lineage: Eukaryota; Metazoa; Arthropoda; Arachnida; Ixodida; Ixodidae. The record is from RefSeq and is a predicted model, not a curated record. The transcript has 2 exons.
AUGAACAGAUGAUACCUUUCACGGGAAGGUCCUCUCUGCGACAGUUCGUCAAAGGGAAACCACGGCCAGUGGGACUCAAAAAUUUUGUUGCGACCAUUUCCAAAGGCCUGGUGAUGGACUAUGAGAUAUAUCGAGGGAAAUCAACCCCUCUUGCUGACACAGCACUUGGCCUUGGUCCUAAUGUUGUUUGGAGACUUGUGCAAACUCUGCCCGAGAGGUCCCUCAUCUCCUUUGACAGGUACUUCACAACGAUCCCUCUCUUGGAUGAGCUUCUAAAGAGGGGCAUCGAAGGAACAGGAACAAUAAUGGCAAAUCAAAUUAAGAACAUUCGGUUUCGAAGUGACAACACCAUGAAGCAGAGAGAAUACGCGGGGUACACCCGUGACGAUGGAAAUGUGGUUGUAGUCAAGUGGAAGGACAGCAGAGCCAUGACCCUUGCAUCAACUUCUACUGGAGCCAGUCCUGUUGAACCUGUAAAGCGCUGGUCAAAACAGGAAAAAAAGUACAUCGAUGUACCAGCACCGGCAAUUGUCCGAAGGUACAAUGCGUGCAUGGGGGGCGUCGACAUUUGUGAUCAGCUGUUGGAAUAUUACAGGAUCGCUAUCAAGACAAGGAAAUGGACUUUAAAGGUCAGCCUACACAUGAUCGACCUCUCUCUUGCCAACUGUUGGAUGGAAUACAGUGACGCCUGCAGGGCAAAUGCUGUGCCACAGCGAGACACUAUGGACCUUCUCGACUUCCGCCUGGCAGUCGCUGAAGCUCUCUGCUCAAAACCCAAAAGAAAAAGAAGUGAAGCCGCGGAAGAGGUCGAUGACUCAAAUGGCCAGAUUCAGCAGCCUUACAAGGUGGCAAAGCUCCCCGGUGAAGAUAAGCGGCUAGAUUCCUUUGACCACUGGCCCACCGUGGAUGCCCUGAAGACCCCCCGAAUAUGCAGGUUGUCGGGAUGCAACUCACGGUCAAGGACGCAUUGCGAAAAAUGCAAUGUUUACCUUUGCCUGACAAGCGAUAGGAACUGCUUCAAGUUAUUUCAUACUUCCCUGUGAGGCAAAUGUGUCUCUGAGGCAAUGUUUUCCUUGGCAUAUAUUUGUUUACAGUUCGUGAGAUUCAUAGCAAUUGAAGCCCGACCCACACAUUUCUGUGGGUCCGUUUUGAAAAUGAAAGUAAAUUUUCUUUUUUAUCUUUCAGAUAUAUUAUAAGAGGCGUUCAGUGGUCUGAAAAUCCACAAAAGAUUUCAUAUUUGUGGUCAACGUUUUUACCGGGCAGGGAAGGGUUAUAGCAGAUCCAUGUGGGGCAAGCUGUGUAUAUCAACCAGGAAUCCUGGGGCAACAUGCGGAAAGCGGAGUGCGACUCCAUGUUUUGCAAAAUCAAGGCUUCUUCCAUAUGGCUACUUGAAGUGCUUUUGGAGAGGUCGGUGACCAACACCCUCUCCAACCAGGCAAAGAUGGCGGGGCAAGAAAAGGCGUUUGCACCACUCACUCCACAAAAGGUGCUGGCCCUCUCGGGUUCUCCUCGUUGAUCCGCACUCUUUCUUUCCUGUUAAUAUGACCCUGAGCUUCGAGAAUGGCCUCUCAACGCUAACACUGGACACUGGCAGGCUGAGGAGAUGAAGCGCUGCCCGAGUCAAAAUCGGCCAAUCAACAUAUUGUGACUGCCGAAAGAGGCACGGUGCGACGUUUUGAAGCACAACACAACAUGCAGAGCUCGCAUCAAGUUAGUCUUCCUUACAAUGAUUUUGAAAACACGUUCGUACAUGGCGAAGUCAUGGGGCGUUCCUCACUUCACAUUCCAAUCGAUGAUGCGCACAUUACACCAUAACGUCGUGAUGGCAUCUAUGUAUCUCAUACAUUCGGACACGUUUCAAUAGACACUGUCGUUCCACUUUUUCGCCACGGCUCUGCGGUACGACUGGAAGGUAAAAGUGAGCGCUUCCGGUUAAAACUGAAUUUUAGAAGAUGGAUUUGUUGUACUUUUAUCAGUUUUUAUCGGUUUAAAUCGAAAAUGCCGAACCUAAAAACUACCCUUUUUUAGUUAAUACCGAAUCUCCGAACAUGAAUUCGGCGUACUUUUACUGGUUUUUAUCGGUUUAAACCGAAAACUCCAAACCCUACGUAUAAGAAGCCUGAUUACCUUGAUCUCUCUCAUUGUCGACAUUCUUUGUUUUGUGCCGAUUGUCAGUGUGUGUUCACUUCUCUCCGGUCGUGUCUGUUCGACCGACGCCUUUUCAUUAUGCACGGCCCUUUUUUUAAAAGCAUGUUUUGAAUUUUGUUUUAUUGUAAUCUGGUUUUAAUCAUUGUGUUGUAUGGGUCAAGUGCAUUUUUUUAUAUUUCAUGUUUAAGGGUGUGCCAGUACCACGGUCGAAUGGCUGUUACUGGGCACCAAAUAAAACUGAUUGUUGAUUCUUGAUUGAUCAUUAUUAUUAUUAUUUUUGCUAAGGAGAGCCAGAAUUUCUUGCCAGAGGUUAAAGUUUUUUUCUUGCCAGAGGUUAAAGUUUUUUGUUGCCAUUAAACAAAAACUAAAUCCAGAUUUGAUAUUGCCCUCUGCCAUGCAUAAAACUAGACACCGUCAAUAAAUUGUCUUCAGUGUUUGUUUUCAGCGAAUGCCGUCCUUCAUGGUCCACUACAGGUCUCAAAUCUCUCUGGACAAUGUAUCAUUUCGAGUUGUCAAGGAAACAGUCAAAGUCUGCAUGUUCGGAAUGUAAUACUACAAAAAGACUUGGGAGAAAUAAAAAAAACAGGUAUGUUACAUGGUAAUGCACUUGCAAACGUUUCAAUCUCAUGCACCGAUCCAGCAGCCUCCCAAAGAUUGUGUGCAGUGAGUGUAAAGAGGAUACUUUGUGACAACUGUUUUUAUACUUAUUUUUCCUUAUGUAAUGCCCCUUAGGGUAUUCCCAAUAAAUGAAUGGAUUUAGGAAAAGCCCAAGAGCAUUAUGCAGAUGAUAUCAGCUUUUCCUUUUGCCAGUAACUGCACAGUGCAGACAACUUUGUUGUGAUAUAAGAUGGGGGCACAUUAGACUCGGUUGAUGUGUGCUAAUUUUAAGUAAUAAUUCCUACUUUCUAGGUGGACGUGCCCCAAACAUACGGCCAAUAAAAAAGGGUCAGCUGAAAACAGACAAGGCCAAGCAGCUGCAGGAGGCACUUGAUGCAGAGCAGCAGACUGGUCAAAGAGAGAAGAGAAGAGCGUACAAUAGAAUUGCCAACUGCAAUUCCCAUCGUAACCAUGGUUUCGAGGACAUAAAGCUUUUAGCCUAAACACGGAGAGGGACAUUACUGAGAGAAAACAAAUGUUGGCAAGGGAAGGACUUACAUCUGUAUCAGAUGUAAAAACAGCCAGCACUAUUAUGUGCAUGACAUACUUUUUUUAAGCAAGUGAAAACCUGAUGGCAGCUGCAGGGCCUUUUACCAGACACAUUGUGAUAUCAUUAACAAGAUCCAAGCUGUUUUUAAGAAAGACUGCUUCAGCACGGUUGAUCAAGAGAAUAGUAGCAUUCUAAUUGAAAAGAUCAGGAGCCCCAAUGCUUCAUUGUCUAUUGGCUGUAUGCGGCAUGCAGCUGCGUGGGUAGCAGCGACUCGGACGGCGUGGAAGACAGUGCUGCCAGUGAGUGUGAGGACACGUUGCUCUUCUACUUCCAGACAAAAUUCAUGAGAAACAUGUUGAGAAACUAUAGAGGCUCAGUAGGUUGUGUACACAAAGCUGGUGAACAUGCCCUACCACCUUCCUUGCUUGCUGUGAAAAUGCCAUCAGGAUACACACAAGCUGGUAUGUUUAUUGUGCAGUUCGAUACAGCCCACUGUAUCACCGAGGCUUUAGACGUUUUCAAGCAGUGGUGUAAUAACUGGUCACCACAGCACUGGAUGGAAGAUUACAGCAAAACAAAAAUAGCUGCCUUCCAGCAAGUGCUUCCAGAGAGUAAAAUCUCCAUCUGCGACUUCCAUAAAAAACAGGCAUGGCAAAGGUGGCUGGGCAGACAGGAAAACAGCAUGUCCGAUCUGGAUGAGGCUCCGAACCUUAUAAAACACUUAGCGAGUGCUUCAAAUCCCAAUGACUUCUACAAGGCGUUCAAAGUCCUUGUUGCCUAAGAGUGUUGAGAAAAUGAAAACUUCCGCAUUUACUUUGAAGUAGCGUGGCCCUCUGUAAAAGAGCUGUGGGCCAUGUCUUACAGGCUGUUAUUGGAUGCUGUCUUGACCACAAAUGAUAGCACAGAGCAGGGGUGGCCAAACCGCGGCUCGCGAACCGCAUGCGGCUCUUUGCUGGUCUAAGUGCGGCUUGCGGAUCCCUCGUAAGGGGACACCCCCCCCCCCCCCCCCUUCGCCCCUUUCCGCGUU